GGGAUUGCCCCAGUAACGGCGAGUGAAGCGGCAGCAGCUCAAAUUUGAAAUCUGGGGUCCCCGACCUCCGAGUUGUAAUUUGGAGAGGCAUCUUCGGGGGGGAGCGCCGGCCCAUGUUCCUUGGAACAGGACGUCGCAGAGGGUGAGAAUCCCGUGCCAGGCCGGCUGCCUCCUCCCGGGUGAAGGGCCUUCGACGAGUCGAGUUGUUUGGGAAUGCAGCUCCAAGUGGGUGGUAAAUUUCAUCUAAAGCUAAAUACCGGCGGGAGACCGAUAGCGCACAAGUAGAGUGAUCGAAAGAUGAAAAGCACUUUGAAAAUAGAGUCAAAAAGUACGUGAAAUUGUUGAAAGGGAAGCGCUUGAGACCAGACUCAGGCCCUGGCAAACAUCGCGCCCCUCGGGGCCGUGCAAUUGCCCGGGCCUGGGCCAGCAUCAGUUGGCGUGGCGGGACAAAGGCGCGGGGAAUGUGGCUCCCCUCGGGGAGUGUUAUUAGGCCCGUGCUGGAUGCCGCCGACGCCGACUGAGGACCGCGCCUCGGCUAGGAUGCUGGCUUAAUGGCCUUCAGCGACCCGUCUUGAAACACGGACCAAGGAGUCUAACAUCUAUGCGAGUGUUUGGGCGCCAAACCCUUGCGCGGAAUGAAAGUGAGCGGAGGUGGGAACCCCCCUGCGGGGCGCACCAUCGACCGAUCCUGAUGUCU
Molecule: ribosomal RNA, 697 nt
Filed under: Helvella rivularis
Lineage: Eukaryota; Fungi; Ascomycota; Pezizomycetes; Pezizales; Helvellaceae
Description: partial large subunit ribosomal RNA
Rfam family: Eukaryotic large subunit ribosomal RNA
Source: RNAcentral